RNAcentral lists this ribosomal RNA (465 nucleotides) under Vreelandella stevensii. RNAcentral's name for it is "partial 16S ribosomal RNA". It matches the Rfam family "Bacterial small subunit ribosomal RNA", at positions 338 to 795 of the family's 1533-position model. Lineage: Bacteria; Pseudomonadati; Pseudomonadota; Gammaproteobacteria; Oceanospirillales; Halomonadaceae. The record is from RNAcentral.
CCUACGGGCGGCAGCAGUGGGGAAUAUUGGACAAUGGGGGCAACCCUGAUCCAGCCAUGCCGCGUGUGUGAAGAAGGCCCUCGGGUUGUAAAGCACUUUCAGUGAGGAAGAACGCCUGGUGGUUAAUACCCAUCAGGAAAGACAUCACUCACAGAAGAAGCACCGGCUAACUCCGUGCCAGCAGCCGCGGUAAUACGGAGGGUGCGAGCGUUAAUCGGAAUUACUGGGCGUAAAGCGCGCGUAGGUGGCUUGAUAAGCCGGUUGUGAAAGCCCCGGGCUCAACCUGGGAACGGCAUCCGGAACUGUCAAGCUAGAGUGCAGGAGAGGAAGGUAGAAUUCCCGGUGUAGCGGUGAAAUGCGUAGAGAUCGGGAGGAAUACCAGUGGCGAAGGCGGCCUUCUGGACUGACACUGACACUGAGGUGCGAAAGCGUGGGUAGCGAACAGGAUUAGAUACCCCUGUAGUC